GGGAGUUCCUCACCAUAAAAAUGUCAGUUAGCUGUUCUUUUUAGGUUCUCUUUUUUGUCUCUUUGCUUCACUAGAACUUGAUGCAGGCUCAUUGGGCCUCUGCCUCACUAAAAAUCUAUCCAAUGAUGUUUGUUUUUGCCUGCGUUUUAACACUUGCCUGAAGUUACACACUGCAUU
Long non-coding RNA from Pipistrellus kuhlii (Kuhl's pipistrelle), 177 nucleotides. RefSeq lists it as uncharacterized. Lineage: Eukaryota; Metazoa; Chordata; Mammalia; Chiroptera; Vespertilionidae. The transcript is spliced from 3 exons. The record is from RefSeq and is a predicted model, not a curated record.